UUCUGGUGGCUCAGAUGGUAAAGUAUCUGCCUGCAAUGCAGGAGACCCAGGUUCUAUCCCUGGGUCAGGAA
This 71-nucleotide transfer RNA is filed under the name Ovis aries (sheep). It matches the Rfam family "tRNA". From Rfam's summary of the family: Transfer RNA (tRNA) molecules are approximately 80 nucleotides in length. Their secondary structure includes four short double-helical elements and three loops (D, anti-codon, and T loops). The record is from Rfam by way of RNAcentral. Lineage: Eukaryota; Metazoa; Chordata; Mammalia; Artiodactyla; Bovidae.